UCAACGCUGGCGGCGUGCCUAACACAUGCAAGUCGAACGCGAAAGUGGAGCAAUCCAUGAGUAGAGUGGCAAACGGGUGAGUAACACGUGGGUGACCUGCCUUCGAGUGGGGGAUAACGUCCCGAAAGGGACGCUAAUACCGCAUAAUAUGCUGUCUUUUAAGAGAGAGACAUCAAAGCCGGGGACCGUAAGGCCUGGCGCUUGAAGAGGGGCCCGCGCCUGAUUAGCUAGUUGGUGGGGUAAUGGCUCACCAAGGCAACGAUCAGUAUCCGGCCUGAGAGGGCGGACGGACACACUGGGACUGAGACACGGCCCAGACUCCUACGGGAGGCAGCAGUGGGGAAUUGUUCGCAAUGGGCGCAAGCCUGACGACGCAACGCCGCGUGGAGGAUGAAGAUCUUCGGGUCGUAAACUCCUUUCGAUCGAGACGAAUGGCCCUUGGGAUAAUACCCUGAGGGAGUGACGGUACCGAGAGAAGAAGCCCCGGCUAACUCCGUG
This 498-nucleotide ribosomal RNA is filed under the name uncultured bacterium. Its description in RNAcentral is "bacterial SSU rRNA". It matches the Rfam family "Bacterial small subunit ribosomal RNA", at positions 32 to 507 of the family's 1533-position model. The record is from RNAcentral.